UACGUAGGGUGCAGGCGUUAAUCGGAAUUACUGGGCGUAAAGCGUGCGCAGGCGGUUUGCUAAGAGAGACGUGAAAUCCCCCGGCUUAACCUGGGAACUGCGUCUGAUACUGGACGGCUUGAGUAUGGGAGAGGGAUGUAGAAUUCCAGGUGUAGCGGUGAAAUGCGUAGAUAUCUGGAGGAAUACCGGUGGCGAAGGCGGCAUCCUGGACCAUUACUGACGCUGAGGCGCGAAAGCUAGGGGAGCAAACGGG
Molecule: ribosomal RNA, 253 nt
Filed under: uncultured bacterium
Lineage: Bacteria
Description: partial 16S ribosomal RNA
Rfam family: Bacterial small subunit ribosomal RNA
Source: RNAcentral